Molecule: ribosomal RNA, 326 nt
Filed under: uncultured eukaryote
Lineage: Eukaryota
Description: partial 18S ribosomal RNA
Rfam family: Eukaryotic small subunit ribosomal RNA
Source: RNAcentral
CCCUUAGAUGUUCUGGGCCGCACGCGCGCUACACUGAUGCAUUCAACGAGUCCAACCUUGACCGAGAGGUCCGGGUAAUCUUUGAAACUGCAUCGUGAUGGGGCUAGAUUAUUGCAAUUAUUAAUCUUCAACGAGGAAUGCCUAGUAAGCGUGAUUCAUCAAAUCGCGUUGAUUACGUCCCUGCCCUUUGUACACACCGCCCGUCGCUCCUACCGAUUGAGUGUGUUGGUGAGGAGUUUGGAUUGGCCUCGGAAGGUGGUUCGCCACCGUCCGUAGCUGAGGAGUUCUCCAAACCGCCCCACUUAGAGGAAGGAGAAGUCGUAACA